UACGGAGGGGGCAAGCGUUAUUCGGAAUUAUUGGGCGUAAAGGGCGCGUAGGCGGCUAGAUGUGUCAAAGGUGAAAUCCCUCGGCUCAACUGAGGAACUGCCUUUGAAACUGUCUGGCUUGAGGCCGGGAGAGGGUAGCGGAAUUCCCAGUGUAGCGGUGAAAUGCGUAGAUAUCAGGAAGAACACCGGUGGCGAAAGCGCUCUGCUGGACCUUAACUGACACUGAGGGACGAAAGCUAGGGGAGCGAAUGGG
RNAcentral lists this ribosomal RNA (253 nucleotides) under uncultured bacterium. RNAcentral's name for it is "partial 16S ribosomal RNA". It matches the Rfam family "Bacterial small subunit ribosomal RNA", at positions 524 to 776 of the family's 1533-position model. The record is from RNAcentral.